RNAcentral lists this ribosomal RNA (310 nucleotides) under uncultured bacterium. RNAcentral's name for it is "bacterial SSU rRNA". It matches the Rfam family "Bacterial small subunit ribosomal RNA", at positions 1056 to 1372 of the family's 1533-position model. The record is from RNAcentral.
CAGCUCGUGUCGUGAGAUGUUGGGUUAAGUCCCGCAACGAGCGCAACCCUUGUCCCUAGUUGCUACGCAAGAGCACUCCAGGGAGACUGCCGGUGACAAACCGGAGGAAGGUGGGGAUGACGUCAAGUCCUCAUGGCCCUUAUGGGUAGGGCUUCACACGUCAUACAAUGGUCGGAACAGAGGGUCGCCAACCCGCGAGGGGGAGCCAAUCCCAGAAAACCGAUCGUAGUCCGGAUCGCACUCUGCAACUCGAGUGCGUGAAGCUGGAAUCGCUAGUAAUCGCGGAUCAGCAUGCCGCGGUGAAUACGUU